Molecule: ribosomal RNA, 484 nt
Filed under: uncultured bacterium
Lineage: Bacteria
Description: partial 16S ribosomal RNA
Rfam family: Bacterial small subunit ribosomal RNA
Source: RNAcentral
AUUGAACGCUGGCGGCAGGCCUAACACAUGCAAGUCGAGCGGAUGAAGUGAGCUUGCUCCUGGAUUCAGCGGCGGACGGGUGAGUAAUGCCUAGGAAUCUGCCUGGCAGUGGGGGAUAACGUCCGGAAACGGGCGCUAAUAUCGCAUACGUCCUGAGGGAGAAAGGGGGGGAUCUUCGGACCUCACGCUAUCAGAUGAGCCUAGGUCGGAUUAGCUAGUUGGUGGGGUAAAGGCCUACCAAGGCGACGAUCCGUAACUGGUCUGAGAGGAUGAUCAGUCACACUGGAACUGAGACACGGUCCAGACUCCUACGGGAGGCAGCAGUGGGGAAUAUUGGACAAUGGGCGAAAGCCUGAUGCAGCCAUGCCGCGUGUGUGAAGAAGGUCUUCGGAUUGUAAAACACUUUAAGUUGGGAAGAAGGGCAGUAAGUUAAUACCUUGCUGUUUUGACGUUACCAACAGAAUAAGCACCGGCUAACUUCGUG